AUUGAACGCUGGCGGCAGGCCUAACACAUGCAAGUCGAGCGGAAACACGAAGAGCGUUCCCGCCUUACGGUAGCGUCGGGCGGGUGAGUAACAAGUAUAUAACAUUCCUCUAUGGCUGGGGUAACUUCGUGGAACCGGAUCCAAUAACCGAUCAUAGAUUGAACGGCAUGGAGCAGGAGUUCAAGGCCUCUUUGCUGUCACUUUGAGCUGGUGCCGCGUCGGAUUAGCUAGUUGGUAAGGUAACGGCUUACCAAGGCGACGAUGCGUAGCUGAUCUGAGAGGAUGAUCAGCCACACUGGAACUGAGACACGGUCCAGACUCCUACGGGAGGCAGCAGUGGGGAAUAUUGGACAAAGGGCGAAAGCCUGAUGCAGCCAUGCCGCGUGAGUGAAGAAGGUCUUCGGAUUGUAAAGCACUUUUAGUGGGGAGGAAGGGAUGUAAGUUAAUAUCUGGCCGUAUUGACGGUACCCAAAGAAUAAGCACCGGCUAACUUCGUG
RNAcentral lists this ribosomal RNA (497 nucleotides) under uncultured bacterium. Its description in RNAcentral is "partial 16S ribosomal RNA". It matches the Rfam family "Bacterial small subunit ribosomal RNA", at positions 30 to 507 of the family's 1533-position model. The record is from RNAcentral.